AGCGAACGCUGGCGGCAGGCCUAACACAUGCAAGUCGAACGGUAACAGGUCUUUGGAUGCUGACGAGUGGCGAACGGGUGAGUAAUACAUCGGAACGUGCCUAGCAGUGGGGGAUAACUACUCGAAAGAGUGGCUAAUACCGCAUGAGAUCUACGGAUGAAAGCAGGGGAUCGCAAGACCUUGUGCUACUAGAGCGGCCGAUGGCAGAUUAGGUAGUUGGUGGGAUAAAAGCUUACCAAGCCGACGAUCUGUAGCUGGUCUGAGAGGACGAUCAGCCACACUGGGACUGAGAAACGGCCCAGACUCCUACGGGAGGCAGCAGUGGGGAAUUUUGGACAAUGGGCGCAAGCCUGAUCCAGCAAUGCCGCGUGCAGGAUGAAGGCCUUCGGGUUGUAAACUGCUUUUGUACGGAACGAAAAGCCCCGGGUUAAUACCCUGGGGUCAUGACGGUACCGUAAGAAUAAGCACCGGCUAACUACGUGCCAGCCGCCGCCGUAA
RNAcentral lists this ribosomal RNA (498 nucleotides) under uncultured bacterium. RNAcentral's name for it is "partial 16S ribosomal RNA". It matches the Rfam family "Bacterial small subunit ribosomal RNA", at positions 29 to 523 of the family's 1533-position model. The record is from RNAcentral.